RNAcentral lists this ribosomal RNA (549 nucleotides) under Lipomyces tetrasporus. RNAcentral's name for it is "LSU rRNA". It matches the Rfam family "Eukaryotic large subunit ribosomal RNA", at positions 78 to 646 of the family's 3401-position model. The record is from RNAcentral. Lineage: Eukaryota; Fungi; Ascomycota; Lipomycetes; Lipomycetales; Lipomycetaceae.
CCUUAGUAACUGCGAGUGGAAGCGGGCAAAGAGCUCAAAUUUGAAAAUCUUGGCACCUUCGGUGUCCGAGUUGUAAUUUGUAGAAGCAUCUUUUGGAUUGGUCCUUGCAUAUGUUCCUUGGAACAGGACAUCAUAGAGGGUGAGAAUCCCGUUCAUGGUGGGGAAUCCAAUUCUUUGUAAAGUGCUUUCGAAGAGUCGAGUUGUUUGGGAAUGCAGCUCUAAGUGGGUGGUAAAUUCCAUCUAAAGCUAAAUAUUGGCGAGAGACCGAUAGCGAACAAGUACAGUGAUGGAAAGAUGAAAAGAACUCCGAAAGGAGAGUGAAAAAGGACGUGAAAUUGUUGAAAGGGAAGUGCUUGAGAUCAGUCUUAAGGUUUAGUGAUCAGUCUUCCUUUUGGUUGGUGCACUCACUAUUUCUUAGGCCAACAUCAGUUUUCGCGGUAGGAUAAUGACAUUGGAAUGUGGCUCUUUCGGGAGUGUUAUAGCCUUUGUUGAUACUACCUGCUUAGACUGAGGACCGCGCUUUGCUAGGAUGUUGGCAUAAUUCGAACA